This 139-nucleotide small nucleolar RNA is filed under the name Escovopsis weberi. Its description in RNAcentral is "Small nucleolar RNA snR80". It matches the Rfam family "Small nucleolar RNA snR80". The record is from Rfam by way of RNAcentral. Lineage: Eukaryota; Fungi; Ascomycota; Sordariomycetes; Hypocreales; Hypocreaceae.
CAACCCUUGUCUCACUCUGAGGUGUACCAACUUCUCCGUGGUAUAUUUCUAUUUUUGUUCAAGGAAGAGGAAACCAUGUCGAUACUCACCACAACGCCCUUUUCCCGUGGGUGUGGUGGUCCAUCAAAACGUCAAACAU